Molecule: ribosomal RNA, 324 nt
Filed under: Triticum aestivum (bread wheat)
Lineage: Eukaryota; Viridiplantae; Streptophyta; Magnoliopsida; Poales; Poaceae
Description: partial small subunit ribosomal RNA
Source: RNAcentral
AUGAUGUGUAACAUGGCAGUGUUGCUGAAUGGAAGGAGCUUUGCGAGAGCUAGGAAAGUAUUGGUGGAAUCUCAUGAAGAAGAGAGACAGAUAAUGUUUGAGAGGUUCUCCUUCGUGAGCUACGUCAGCGCUCAGAAGGCAUGCAUCGAAGCCCUUGACGGCUGGUUGUCCAGGUUCAUCCUAACAGACACCAUUUGUUACUCCCGGGGGAUCUCCUUGAUUGCGCCCGACAGGGCCGGCACGCCGCCCCUGGUGGUGAUCAUGAGUGGCACACCAUGCUGUCGACGACUGGAUCGAUCCUCCUCACUAGUGACUCCGGCAUAG